GGGCGGAGCCUGAUCCAGCCAUGCCGCGUGCAGGAAGACUGCCCUAUGGGUUGUAAACUGCUUUUAUACGGGAAGAAUAAGGUCUACGUGUAGACUGAUGACGGUACCGUAAGAAUAAGGACCGGCUAACUCCGUGCCAGCAGCCGCGGUAAUACGGAGGGUCCGAGCGUUAUCCGGAAUUAUUGGGUUUAAAGGGUCCGUAGGCGGGCUGUUAAGUCAGGGGUGAAAGUUUGCAGCUCAACUGUAAAAUUGCCUUUGAUACUGGCGGUCUUGAGUUAUAUUGAAGUGGCUAGAAUAUGUAGUGUAGCGGUGAAAUGCAUAGAUAUUACAUAGAAUACCGAUUGCGAAGGCAGGUCACUAAGUAUUAACUGACGCUGAUGGACGAAAGCGUGGGUAGCGAACAGGAUUAGAUACCCUGGUAGUCCACGCCGUAAACGAUGGAUACUAGCUGUGUGGUUUUCGGACUGCGCGGCCAAGCGAAAGUGAUAAGUAUCCCACCUGGGGAGUACGUUCGCAAGAAUGAAACUCAAAGGAAUUGACGGGGGCCCGCACAAGCGGUGGAGCAUGUGGUUUAAUUCGAUGAUACGCGAGGAACCUUACCAGGGCUUAAAUGUAGAUUGACAGGUUUAGAGAUAGACUUUCCUUCGGGCAAUUUACAAGGUGCUGCAUGGUUGUCGUCAGCUCGUGCCGUGAGGUGUCAGGUUAAGUCCUAUAACGAGCGCAACCCCUGUCGUUAGUUGCCAGCAUGUCAUGAUGGGGACUCUAACGAGACUGCCGGUGCAAACCGUGAGGAAGGUGGGGAUGACGUCAAAUCAUCACGGCCCUUACGUCCUGGGCCACACACGUGCUACAAUGGCCGGUACAGAGAGCAGCCACUUGGCAACAAGGAGCGAAUCUAUAAAACCGGUCACAGUUCGGAUCGGGGUCUGCAACUCGACCCCGUGAAGCUGGAAUCGCUAGUAAUCGGAUAUCAGCCAUGAUCCGGUGAAUACGUUCCCGGGCCUUGUACACACCGCCCGUCAAGCAUGGAAGCCGGGAGUGCUGAGUCCGUCACCGUAGGAGCGCCUAGGCAGAUCGG
This 1078-nucleotide ribosomal RNA is filed under the name marine bacterium HB-35. RNAcentral's name for it is "bacterial SSU rRNA". It matches the Rfam family "Bacterial small subunit ribosomal RNA", at positions 373 to 1471 of the family's 1533-position model. The record is from RNAcentral.